Molecule: ribosomal RNA, 253 nt
Filed under: uncultured bacterium
Lineage: Bacteria
Description: partial 16S ribosomal RNA
Rfam family: Bacterial small subunit ribosomal RNA
Source: RNAcentral
UACGUAGGGUGCAAGCGUUAAUCGGAAUUACUGGGCGUAAAGAGUGCGUAGGUGGUUAUAUAAGACAGGCGUGAAAUCCCCGGGCUCAACCUGGGAAAUGCGUUUGUGACUGUAUGUCUAGAGUCUGUUAGAGGGGGGUAGAAUUCCAAGUGUAGCAGUGAAAUGCGUAGAGAUUUGGAGGAAUACCGAAGGCGAAGGCAGCCCCCUGGGAUAAGACUGACGCUGAGGUGCGAAAGCGUGGGGAGCAAACAGG